This 495-nucleotide ribosomal RNA is filed under the name uncultured bacterium. RNAcentral's name for it is "partial 16S ribosomal RNA". It matches the Rfam family "Bacterial small subunit ribosomal RNA", at positions 28 to 507 of the family's 1533-position model. The record is from RNAcentral.
GACGAACGCUGGCGGCGUGCCUAAUACAUGCAAGUAGAACGCUGAAGGAGGAGCUUGCUUCUCUGGAUGAGUUGCGAACGGGUGAGUAACGCGUAGGUAACCUGCCUGGUAGCGGGGGAUAACUAUUGGAAACGAUAGCUAAUACCGCAUAAUAGUAGAUGUUGCAUGACAUUUGCUUAAAAGGUGCAAUUGCAUCACUACCAGAUGGACCUGCGUUGUAUUAGCUAGUUGGUGGGGUAACGGCUCACCAAGGCGACGAUACAUAGCCGACCUGAGAGGGUUGACGGGCACAACGGGAACGGGGAACGGCCCAGACGCCCACGGGAGGCAGCAGUAGGGAAUCCUCGGCAAUGGGCGGAAGUCUGACCGAGCAAAGCCGCGUGAGUGAAGAAGGGUUUCGGAUCGUAAAGCUCCGUUGUAAGGGAAGAAAGAGUUGGAGAGGGGAAAGUGCACAUUGUGACGGUAGCUUAUCAGAAAGGGACGGCUAACUACGUG